GAUGAACGCUGGCGGCGUGCCUAAUACAUGCAAGUCGAGCGAACGGACGAGAAGCUUGCUUCUCUGAUGUUAGAGGCGGACGGGAGCGUCACACAUGGUUAACAUAACUCAAAGAAUGGGAUGAUAUCGGGAAACCGGAGCUAAGAACGGAAAAUUUAUUGACCCGCAUUGUUCAAAAGUGAAAGUAGGUCUUGCUGUCACUAAAAGAUGGCCCAGCGCUGCAUUAGCUAGUUGGUAAGGUAACGGAUUACCAAGGCUACGAUGCAUAGCCGACCUGAGAGGGAGAUCGGCCACACUGGAUCUGAGACACGGUCCAGACUCCUACAGUGGGCAGCUGUAGAGAAUCUUCCGCGAUGGGCGAAUGCCUGACGGUGCAACACCGCGGGAGUGAUGAUGGUCUUCGGAUCGUAAAACGCUGUUAUUAGUGAAGAUCAUAUGUGUAAUUAACUGUGCACAUCUUGACGGUACCUAAACAGAAAGCCACGGCUAACUACGUG
Molecule: ribosomal RNA, 497 nt
Filed under: uncultured bacterium
Lineage: Bacteria
Description: partial 16S ribosomal RNA
Rfam family: Bacterial small subunit ribosomal RNA
Source: RNAcentral